Molecule: ribosomal RNA, 253 nt
Filed under: uncultured bacterium
Lineage: Bacteria
Description: partial 16S ribosomal RNA
Rfam family: Bacterial small subunit ribosomal RNA
Source: RNAcentral
UACGUAGGGUGCAAGCGUUAAUCGGAAUUACUGGGCGUAAAGCGUGCGCAGGCGGUGAUGUAAGACAGUCGUGAAAUCCCCGGGCUCAACCUGGGAAUUGCGAUUGUGACUGCAAGGCUAGAGUACGGCAGAGGGGGAUGGAAUUCCGCGUGUAGCAGUGAAAUGCGUAGAUAUGCGGAGGAACACCAAUGGCGAAGGCAAUCCCCUGGGCCUGUACUGACGCUCAUGCACGAAAGCGUGGGGAGCAAACAGG